RNAcentral lists this ribosomal RNA (245 nucleotides) under uncultured bacterium. RNAcentral describes it as "partial 16S ribosomal RNA". It matches the Rfam family "Bacterial small subunit ribosomal RNA", at positions 524 to 768 of the family's 1533-position model. The record is from RNAcentral.
GACGUAGGUGGCGAGCGUUACUCGGAAUCACUAGGCGUAAAGCACAUGUAGGCGGGUGCGUAAGUUCGUUGUGAAAUCUCCCGGCUUAACUGGGAGGGGUCAACGGAUACUGCGCGUCUGGAGUGGGGUAGGGGGGACUGGAAUUCCUGGUGUAGCGGUGAAAUGCGUAGAUAUCAGGAGGAACACCAAUGGCUAACGCAGGUCCCUGGGCCCUUACUGACGCUGAGAUGUGAAAGCUAGGGGAG